RNAcentral lists this ribosomal RNA (467 nucleotides) under uncultured bacterium. RNAcentral's name for it is "partial 16S ribosomal RNA". It matches the Rfam family "Bacterial small subunit ribosomal RNA", at positions 28 to 506 of the family's 1533-position model. The record is from RNAcentral.
GACGAACGCUGGCGGCGUGCUUAACACAUGCAAGUCGAACGGAAAGGCCCUGCUUUUGUGGGGUGCUCGAGUGGCGAACGGGUGAGUAACACGUGAGUAACCUGCCCUUGACUUUGGGAUAACUUCAGGAAACUGGGGCUAAUACCGGAUAGGAGCUCCUGCUGCAUGGUGGGGGUUGGAAAGUUUCGGCGGUUGGGGAUGGACUCGCGGCUUAUCAGCUUGUUGGUGGGGUAGUGGCUUACCAAGGCUUUGACGGGUAGCCGGCCUGGGAGGGUGACCGGCCACAUUGGGACUGGGAUACGGCCCAGACUCAUACGGGAGGCAGCAGUGGGGAAUAUUGCACAAUGGGCGGAAGCCUGAUGCAGCAACGCCGCGUGCGGGAUGACGGCCUUCGGGUUGUAAACCGCUUUCGCCUGUGACGAAGCGUGAGUGACGGUAAUGGGUAAAGAAGCACCGGCUAACUACGU